This 275-nucleotide ribosomal RNA is filed under the name uncultured bacterium. RNAcentral describes it as "partial 16S ribosomal RNA". It matches the Rfam family "Bacterial small subunit ribosomal RNA", at positions 82 to 354 of the family's 1533-position model. The record is from RNAcentral.
CCGUUGCCGGCGACCGGCGCACGGGUGAGUAACACGUAUGCAACCUGCCCGUGGCAGGGGGAUAAGCGGGGGAAACCCCGUCUAAUACCGCGUAACGCGGCCUUGGGGCAUCCCAAGGCCGCCAAAGGGAGCAAUCCCGGCCACGGAUGGGCAUGCGGCGCAUUAGCUAGUCGGCGGGGUAACGGCCCACCGAGGCGACGAUGCGUAGGGGUUCUGAGAGGAAGGCCCCCACACUGGUACUGAGACACGGACCAGACUCCUACGGAAGGCAGCAG